Molecule: unclassified non-coding RNA, 189 nt
Filed under: uncultured fungus
Lineage: Eukaryota; Fungi
Description: sequence contains ITS1, 5.8S rRNA gene
Source: RNAcentral
CUGAGUUAGGGUCUUCUCUGGCCCGACCUCCAACCCUGUGUCUACCUUACCACGUUGCUUCGGCGGGCCUGCCGACAGGAUCUGUCGGCUGCCGGUGGGCUCAACCCCCGCUGGACAGUGCCCGUCGAUGGCCAACCUCCAAAACUCUUGAAGAACCAUGUCGUCUGAGUACCAAACUAAAUAAAGUAA